This 438-nucleotide ribosomal RNA is filed under the name uncultured bacterium. RNAcentral describes it as "partial 16S ribosomal RNA". It matches the Rfam family "Bacterial small subunit ribosomal RNA", at positions 339 to 795 of the family's 1533-position model. The record is from RNAcentral.
CUACGGGGUGCUCCAGUGAGGAAUAUUGCACAAUGGGAGGAACCCUGAUGCAGCAACGCCGCGUGGAGGAUGACGCAUUUCGGUGUGUAAACUCCUUUUAUAUGUCAAGAAAAUGACGGUAGCAUAUGAAUAAGCACCGGCUAACUCCGUGCCAGCAGCCGCGGUAAUACGGAGGGUGCAAGCGUUACUCGGAAUCACUGGGCGUAAAGGACGCGUAGGCGGGUUGGAAAGUCAGGUGUGAAAUCCUACAGCUUAACUGUAGAACUGCACUUGAAACUUCUAAUCUAGAGUAUGGGAGGGGGAGAUGGAAUUAGUGGUGUAGGGGUAAAAUCCGUAGAUAUCACUAGGAAUACCUAAAGCGAAGGCGAUCUCCUGGAACAUUACUGACGCUAAGGCGUGAAAGCGUGGGGAGCAAACAGGAUUAGUACCCCUGUAGUC